RNAcentral lists this transfer RNA (86 nucleotides) under Alkalimarinus sediminis. Its description in RNAcentral is "tRNA-Leu". It matches the Rfam family "tRNA". From Rfam's summary of the family: Transfer RNA (tRNA) molecules are approximately 80 nucleotides in length. Their secondary structure includes four short double-helical elements and three loops (D, anti-codon, and T loops). Lineage: Bacteria; Pseudomonadati; Pseudomonadota; Gammaproteobacteria; Alteromonadales; Alteromonadaceae. The record is from RNAcentral.
GCCGAAGUGGUGAAAUUGGUAGACACGCUACCUUGAGGGGGUAGUGCUCUUUGGGCGUGCCGGUUCAAGUCCGGCCUUCGGCACCA